GCGUAAAGUGUUCCUACCUUAGGAUAGGACUGUGUAUGAGUCUCGCUACUAGGUUAACUUUCAUCUCUCCUAUGGACUGUUCAUAUAGUAUCUGUCGACCUCCUUUUUACUAGUGUACUAUGUGAGUUGGUUCGGAGGAGGGUAAAAACUACUUUUGAGUUGUGACUGCAUGUUACACGACGUUUCCUUUGAGCAGAUAAACCGAAGAAACUUGUUAAAUGUGACGGUAGUCCUCUUUAUUGUUCCCCAUGGACGGGUGUUCGGAAUAUCCUGUAUUUACACUAAUUUUUUAAUGUCAUCUCAAUGUGACGUUAAAUCGAACCUUUUUGUAACAUGUAUCUGAUGUUCUUGUUUUCAAGUCCAAUUUUGUGUCCAAUUUGCGACUCACAUUAAUGUAACGUUUAACGUGACUUAAAUAUCACAUUAAUGUGACGUUAAAUCUGACGUUUUACAAUCAUGUAUCUGACAUUGAUGUUUUUUAUCCAAUUAAUGUGACUUUUAAUGUCACAUAAAUGUAACAUUUAAUCUGACCUUUCAUAGUCACGUAUCUGACAUUCAUGUUUUUAAGUCGAAUUAAUGUGUAUUAUUUGUCUAAUUAAUGUGACUUUCAUGUCACAUUAAUGUGACGUUUCAAUCUGGCCUUUUAAGGUCAUGUAUCUGACAUUCAUGUUUUUAAUGUCAAAUCGAUGUGAUUCCUAAUGUGACAUUAGUUGGUGAUUUUAUGUGAUUUCUUAAUGUGACAUUUAGGUUAAUUUUAAUGUCACAUUUUAGUGAUAAAGGACUUUUAAGACUUAAUCUCAGGUACUUACAUGUACGUGUCUAACUUCCCUAAAAGGACUUUUAUAUAUGGUUUUACUGAGCCACACUCUAAUUGACUUACUUUAACGUGCCUACUCGUAUGUGUAAAUGUUUUGAUGAGGCGAAAUUCAUUAUUGUGAUUUUUUAUGACCUUUUAUCGUUAUGUUUAGUAACGUUCAAUGUGACGUUUUUAGUGAUUUUCCUUGUGGCUCUUUGACCUUUUAAAGUCUCUUUUUGUGACGUUCAACGUGUGAUGACUUUAAUGUUACUUUUAUUUACUUUAAUGUCACGUUUAUAUGUGAAAUAAACAAGUCACAUCACCAACCCUAAUGAUCAUCAUCGUACCGUCACCCAAUACCAUCACGAUCUUUGUUAUGUCUUACUCACCUCGUCUUGCAUCCACUAUCUGAUUUCCGUUAGUAGUGGGUUAGGUGAUUCUUAAUGUCACAUUUUGCGGAUUCUUAAUGUGACAUUUUGGGGAUCCUUUAUGUGACAUUUAGGUAACCCCUAAUGUGACAUGUUAGGUGAUCUUUAAUGUCACAUUUUGGGGAUUCUUUUAUGUGACGUUUAGAUGAUCCUUAAUGUCACAUUUAGGUCACUCUUGAUGUAACAUUUAGAUAUCGCUUUUAUGUGACAUUUAGGUGAUUUUUAAUGUGACAUUAUUGUUUACCCCUUAUGUGAUACUUAGUUAAGUCUUAAUGUCACGUUUUGUUGGUGACUGUUGUUGAAGUUGAGUGAGUAAGUAUAUCAGGACAUAGGUGUACUUCCACCUACACACAGUUGAUAUAACGGUUUUGAUGUUGAUGCGUUGGUUCACCUACAGUAGGAUCCCCUUUGGAUGUACGUGUUGGAUCCUUAUCUAGUGAUAGCGUAUUAUCAUGUUGAUUUGUUCAAUUGUGUGGCGUCAAUGUCUAGUUUAGUUUGAUUGUCACUUUGGGGGAGUUCCUCGUGGGGUGGGGGGGUCAGUGGAGCGGGGCGGUACCUGACCCUGCUCGCCGGAAUCUUUGACCUUGAUGGAGGUGGAUGGUGUCCCGUGAGGCGGAGGAUUUAGGCGGUACCGUUUGCUUUUAGUUUGGGCCGCCUUGGAGUGUGUAGAUGUGCUUACUUACGCCCCCUUUAUGUGUGUUGUUGUUCUAGACUGAUUCUUUGGGGAUUUUGAUGGUAAGUCUAGAUGCCUUGUUCUCUUUUAGCUCUCUUUUACGGCUUAGUCUGCUUGUUUUUGCUGCCCUCCCCCUUUUAACACCGGCCCCAACCACCCCCCCGUCUGUUAGCUGCCCUCCAGCUCGCCCCGCGCCUCCGUCGUCCCCUCGCCCUGUCUCGUGUCUGCUCAGUGGUUGUUGGUUGACGCAGCUAGCGGCUCUCCCUCUAGGUUUAGCGGUACCGAUAGAGAGGGUUGGAGACAAGGCCCCCUACGCACACACUUUACCGUUUCUCCUUUGUUGCUCCUAACCCUUCUCUGUCUCCUUCGC
RNAcentral lists this ribosomal RNA (2267 nucleotides) under Triticum aestivum (bread wheat). RNAcentral describes it as "partial small subunit ribosomal RNA". The record is from RNAcentral. Lineage: Eukaryota; Viridiplantae; Streptophyta; Magnoliopsida; Poales; Poaceae.